Molecule: ribosomal RNA, 468 nt
Filed under: uncultured bacterium
Lineage: Bacteria
Description: partial 16S ribosomal RNA
Rfam family: Bacterial small subunit ribosomal RNA
Source: RNAcentral
GACGAACGCUGGCGGCGUGCUUAACACAUGCAAGUCGAACGGAAAGGCCCUGCUUUUGUUGGGUGCUCGAUUGGCGAACGGGUGAGUAACACGUGAGUAACCUGCCCUUGACUUUGGGAUAACUUCAGGAAACUGGGGCUAAUACCGGAUAGGAGCUCCUGCUGCUUGGUGGGGGUUGGAAAGUUUCGGCGGUUGGGGAUGGACUCGCGGCUUAUCAGCUUGUUGGUGGGGUAGUGGCUUACCAAGGCUUUGACGGGUAGCCGGCCUGAGAGGGUGACCGGCCACAGUGGGACUGAGAUACGGCCCAGACUGCUACGGGAGGCAGCAGUGGGGGAUAGUGCGCAAUGGGCGGAAGGCUGAUGCAGCAACGCCGCGUGCGGGAUGACGGCCUUCGGGGUGUAACCCGCGUGCGCCUGUGACGAAGCGUGAGUGACGGUAAUGUGUAAAGAAGCACCGGCUAACUACGUG